Molecule: unclassified non-coding RNA, 2319 nt
Filed under: Orussus abietinus
Lineage: Eukaryota; Metazoa; Arthropoda; Insecta; Hymenoptera; Orussidae
Description: ubiquitin fusion degradation protein 1 homolog, transcript variant X2
Source: RNAcentral
AUGAUUUUCUAUUUCCAGUUUGGAUUAAAUAUGUUUGCGGAGAUCCCCCGGCCCUUUAAUACACAAUAUAAAUGUUUCUCCGUAUCUAUGUUACCUGGAAAUGAGAGGCAAGAUGUGGAACGGGGAGGAAAAAUUAUUAUGCCACCUUCGGCAUUGGAACAACUCACCAGAUUAAAUAUUGUUUAUCCAAUGUUGUUCAAACUAACUAAUAAGAAGACUAAUAGAAUUACCCACUGUGGGGUACUAGAAUUUGUGGCGGAUGAGGGAAAAGUUUAUCUUCCUUAUUGGAUGAUGCAUAACCUAUUAUUAGAGGAAGGAGAAUUAUUAAAUAUUGAAAGUGUAUCAUUACCUGUGGCUAUAUUUUCUCGCUUUCAACCUCAGUCUGAAGAUUUCUUAGACAUUACAAAUCCAAAGGCAGUGUUAGAAAAUGGUUUGAGAAGUUUUGCCUGUUUGACGACAGGUGAUAUAAUUGCUAUAAGGUAUAAUCAACGAAUUUAUGAAAUGUGCGUCCUUGAAACAAGACCAGGCCCAGCAGUUAGCAUUAUCGAGUGUGAUAUGAAUGUGGAGUUUGCUCCACCGGUUGGUUAUAAAGAACCAGAGAAAGAAGUCAAAACAGAAGAUGAUGCAGUGGAUCCAACAGAAUUAAUGCCAGCCCCAGCUGGUUUUGUUCCAUUUAAAGGACAGGGUAACAGAUUAAACGGAAAGAAACGGAAAGAUUCUGGGCAGUCAGAUAUUCUCUCUGAGAAGCCAGUUUACAUCAGAGGCAUUCCUGAUUAUGAUUACAAGAUUGGCACUCUGAAGUUCCUGCGUAAUAUAAAACCUGCUAACACCAAGGAGGUAAAGGAUCAAGAUGAAUUUAAGGCUUUCACAGGGGAAGGAUUUUCCCUUCGUAAAUCAAGAAAAUAAUUGUAUUUAGGCCCACCACGAGGAGGUUGCCGCUCCAGAAAAUUCUAAUUCCGCGUGACUCAAUUCGCGGGGCAAAAGCAGAUGUUAACGAUGCAGAUGACCGCACGACCACACAAACGUCUGUGACGCACGCUUCAUCUUGGCCGCUAAGGGGAAGCGUGCGCCAUUAAGCGAAAGUCAGAAUCGCACAACGUGUUGCAGCUUUGCAUCGCCCACGGCUUAAUUUCUGUACAGAUGAACGGCGCUUAUACUAAACGCAGGGUUUUCUUCGACGUCCUUGAUCCCUUCUGGUGGUUGCAGACAGCGUCCCCAGUCUUUAGCGUCUUCUUUGCUUUUGGUUCAAAAUUUUCGAAGGGACUUUUGGGAUCCUCGUCCCGAGGAAGAUACGGGAGGGGAGCCUAAUCGGACGAUUUUAACUGUCUGCUUAACAGGUGGUGGGGUCGGUUCUUGUUAUCCGGAUAAAUUUUGAUUUGUCCAAAAAUGUAGGUAGGUGGGGGAUUAGAAUUUUAUGAAAUUCGAGAGUCCGUAAUUACCGUGCCGUCUCUUCUCCCGACCGACUCCUGGACGCAGGUAUCUGGAAAAGGUACCCUUGUACUCCCAUUGCAUCAUCUUAAAGUUACGGAUUUUUCGUUAAGGUGACCUGAAAGGGGCAAUCGAGGGGUCAGUAGUUUCCGAAAUAUUUCUCAGAACUAGGUGUACCGAAUCGUUUGAAAUUUUAUAACGCGAGGAUAAAGACCUUAAGAAAGGGCUUGAUAACCAUUAAAUUCUAUUUUUGUGAAGAAACUCUCCUAAGUGCCGCGAUACGGUAAAGUUUCAUAAUCGAGCGCUGAGAGGUAAGUUGUGAGCAGAGAUGAGUUGGAUCCCUGAGUUGGGCCGCCGUUGGGGGCAAGUCCGUUAGCCGCCUGCAUUCUCCAUCGAGGGCAGCACGGAACGCGAUCGUGCGACCCUGCCUACGAGCGAUCUCACAACUCAUCUCUGUUUAUGAAUAGUAGGACCUUAACGUCGGUGGAUGGGGAUUUGGGUCACUUUAAAGGACGAAGUUACACUCGUAACGGAACUAUCAGGGUUGCUAAGCUGAUCGAAUAUGCAAAUUAACUGUCUAACGGAUAAGUAAACAUUUUGUGUCUGCAAUCUGCUUUUACGUGAUCCCAACUAUAUAUGAUCCCAUACAGACAACGCUUUGAUAAAAAUAAACAGAGUGUUCAUUAUUCUUAUUACGUAAUACAUUUUAUCGAAAUAAGUUACGUUUAUUGUACGUCACAGUUGUGGGUAAUCGAUGGUUCACCCGGCAUUUAAGGUGGUAACAACGAAUAUUCGAAUUUCCAGUUUCUCUGUCCACGAGAAAUCUCUUUUGUUUCUAGCAGUGGUUGUAAACGUUAGAAAUUUUCUGGAAAAAAGAUUUUGUUCUAUUAA